AGAGUUUGAUCAUGGCUCAGGAUGAACGCUAGCUACAGGCUUAACACAUGCAAGUCGAGGGGAAACGACAUCGAAAGCUUGCUUUUGAUGGGCGUCGACCGGCGCACGGGUGAGUAACGCGUAUCCAACCUGCCCAUCACUUGGGGAUAACCUUGCGAAAGUAAGACUAAUACCCAAUGACGUCUCUAGAAGACAUCUGAAAGAGAUUAAAGAUUUAUCGGUGAUGGAUGGGGAUGCGUCUGAUUAGCUUGUUGGCGGGGUAGCGGCCCACAAGGCGACGAUCGAGUAGGGUUCUGAGAGGACGGUCCCCANAUUGGACUGAGACACGGUCCAAACGUCCUACGGGAGGCA
Molecule: ribosomal RNA, 351 nt
Filed under: uncultured bacterium
Lineage: Bacteria
Description: bacterial SSU rRNA
Rfam family: Bacterial small subunit ribosomal RNA
Source: RNAcentral